RNAcentral lists this long non-coding RNA (9662 nucleotides) under Vigna radiata. Its description in RNAcentral is "long non-coding RNA (VRAD_LNC006409)". Lineage: Eukaryota; Viridiplantae; Streptophyta; Magnoliopsida; Fabales; Fabaceae. The record is from RNAcentral.
CAGUAAUGGGCCGAUGUUGCACCCGAAACAAAAUCCACUGCCCUGAGCUUGUGUUUGUGUCUUCUCCUUCUCGCUGCACUGCUUCCCCAAUCUUCUUCCUGGUGAUCAAGGUAUCAAAAUCGAAACAGGUACUUUCGCAGAAGUAUAAUCUUUUCACGUACCUAUAAUCGUUUUGUUUUCACAGUUCCUUCAAUUGCAUUUUCAUUUACAAAAGACUUGUUAACUUAUGCUUCAUAUGCAAAAAUGAAUUGGGUGGUGGCUACGACCCUAUCAUUGUUGUUUUUAACUUUUCAUUAUAUGGUUUGGAAAUAGCAGGUGUGUUGUGAAAGAUGACUUGCAUUGUUAGGGCUGCAUUGAGAUCCAAUUGCAGUUCAAGUGUUUGUGCAUUUGUUCAGAGAAGUUUUGGCCUCCCUGUGAGGUGUUUCUCCACUGAAGCAGAACAGCCACCUCUGAAUUCAACUACCCCUCUUCCAUUCUUGGACGUUGAUCAUUCUGGUACCACCCUAUUUAUGCAUUUAUCCUCCCAUUUCUAUCGCUCUUAGACUUGCUUUAGCUUUUACGAAAAAACUGUUCUACCGCAGCUCGAGGUUAUAAAUUCCUUGACAUUACAGGAAAAUGCGGACAAAAGUGGCUGAUGCAGCCACAAAAAUGUCAGAGACUCCAAAAACCUUGACAUUGUGGCCAAAAUUGUGGUCACAGUUGUCGACUAAUAUCUAAAACCUUGUUGCUGCUGUUACUUUUAGGACUCGCUCGGUGGCUAGCAUAUGAUAUAAUCGGAUAAUUAAACUAUAAAACAAUAGCGGUUCUAAUGAGUUGUUUGGUUUUGGGGAUAAUUAUUUGUACCAUAGCAAGUAUCACUAGCACUACAUGGUCACUACUACCAUUAGUGUCACUAAAUCUUUCAUCAUCAAUGUCACCCUUGUUGUCAUAACAGACAUUACUCUCACCAUUAUUGCUAUCAGUCACUAUCAUCGAUGUUGUUAGGAAUUCAAGGUGACUUCAAGUCCCACAUUGAAUCAAAAUGAGUAAGAUGAUGACUAGUAUAUAAAUAGAAGAACCCAUAAACCUAUUGCCUUAAUGUUUUGUGUCAGAAGUGGUGUCUUUGUCUCAUAUAUGACCUUAUUCACGACUCAUUGGUGAUGAAUCUUCCAACGUCUUCCCUCAGAAAAACCUCACAGUUGUCACCAUCAUUUCUUUAUUAUACUUUCAUCAUUGUUACUAUUGUGAUUAUCACUUGCAUCUUUCUCAUCGUGCUUACCAUUUGCUACCAUCUCAUUAUUGAUGUUGUAUUGUAACUAUUUGUAGGAGUAGAAAGGGUGAUAAUUUACUUUAAAUUAAGAGACUUGUGCAAUAUUUGUAACAAUAAACAAAAGAUUUAAUAUAUUAAGUAUGUUAAUAUAUUAAUUUAGUUCUUUUGUUUUAUAAAAUUAUCAAAUUAGAGAUUGUUUGUUAGAAAGAAAAUUUGUAAGGAAAGAAAAAAGUGGGCUUAUCAUUCAUUUCUAAGUAAUAGUGAUUUAUUCAAAUGAGGAACGCCAUGUUAGAUUAUCUUGUAACCUUCUAAUUAUUGUAUAUAUAGUUCUUUAAAGUUUAUUUGUGUCUUACAUGAGGCCCAUGGUAAGCUUUACAAGGGGGAGAGGAGAUAAGAGUGAGAAAGGAGGAGUGCAUCCCUUUCUCACUAAUUGUUAAUUUCAAAUAGGUUAAUGUAUAUUUUUCAAUUAAUUGGGAUGCUAGGAAAAAUCUUCCUUCUCCAUGUCCUCAUCAUCAUUAUUGUCAUUGUUUUAAGUUUUUGCUCAAUCCUCAUGUCUAUUCAUGUGUUCUAACAUUCAAAAGCCAAAUAGUUUUCAGAUUUGACAAUGUGAAAAUAGUAAAUGCAUGAGAAUAUAGAAAUUUGACAUACAGUAUAUAUCAUUGAUGCUAGUGACUAUAUUUUUGUAUACGUUUGGAUUUUGAAAAUAAGAUGUUAGGUUUCUAACCAAUUCACUGCUAGCCAUGUUAUUUAAAUAAUACCUUUCAACACUUUACAGUUCUUUUAUUUUAAAUAAUUUCCAUCCUAGGUAAUGACUGUUUUCCUUUCUCUUUCUUUCUUUAGGAGUGACAUAUGGUAGGCUGCUUGGUAUCCGUAAACAUGCACUGAAAACAGAUAUCAUCAACUUCCUUGAAGGUUGUAAUUUGACUCUGGAGGAUGUUAAAUUUGAUUACAACCGUAGCCUUAUACCAGUUUCAACGUAAUGUAUUCCAUCUUUUGUCUUGCUUUUGGGGUAUUGUGAAAGUUAUUUUUGUCAUAUAAUCAGUGCAUUUUCAUGCCUAUGACAGGGAAUUGCAUUUUCUUUUCUUUUUCUUUUACUCUAAAUGAUGUUUCCGAAAACUAAAGAGAAAGUUCAAUUUAAUUAUAUACUUGUUUGUAACAUGUCGUGCUCUCAGAAUUUGGACUUUCAAGCCCUAAAAUCCUAUAAAACAACCAACUUGUCAGGAGAGGAUUGUCCAAUAUAUAUAUAUAUAUAUAUAUAUAUAUAUAUAUAUAUAUAUAUAUAUAUAUUAUAUAGUUCUAGUUAAGUCAUAUUUUUAGUCACUGAAACUAAACACCAUAAAAAACACCACUUUGAACUGUAAUUAAGGUGCCGUUCAAAAUAUGGAGUGCUAGAUUUUGUCAUACUCGUCUUGUUAUAUGAACCCAUGUAUUUCAUUAAAGACAAGUAGAAAUAAUCCCAAUUGCUGAGGUAAAAUCAGAAUACAGGAAAAGUGAAUGGAUAAAGAGUAGCCUUUUUGAGGGUGUGCCAGCCUUCCUUUACAAUCCUUAUCCAAUUAUUGCCUACCUAUUUCUUCCUUCUUCCCUUUUAUUCUAACCAAUUUACUUAUGUUUUUCUUCCUCAAUUGCUACAAUUAGCAUUUCAUUAUUACCUCGGUUCAUCCUCAUGACUCUCCGUAAUCAUCUAGCAUAGCUAACAUCCUGAAGUGGAUUAUCAUUGUGUUUUCUAAAUGGGCCUCAUCUUAGAUUCAAUACUUGAAAUUAUCAUUUAAAGGUUUUGGGUAUAAUCAGGUUAUUGCAAUUCCCUUCUCGUGAUUCCUAUGACAAUGCUAUAAGGGUGAUUGUAAGGAAGGGUCGCCUCUACAAAUUGGAUAGGGUAUGCUGCUCUGCUCACAUGUCUUUUUUCUAAAAUCAUUUUCUUUUUUAUAUUUGUUUAUAAUUGGAAACUGUUUGAUAUUUUUUCCUUUUUCUAAUAUCAGGCUGAUCGAUCCCAAUGGGACAUAGUAAAGCCAUAUGAUGGAAAAACUGUCAGUACAGAUUCUUACCUAUCUUUGCUUAUCUUGUUUUUUGAAUACUAAUUAUUUUUUGAUGUUUGUAAUAUAUUUUAACUGUCCAAAUGCUGAAAUUGUUAGAUGUUGUGUUUUGAAAAUUUUGAUUGAGUAAAAUAGAGAGCAUGAUGUAAGACAGUUUUUUCCCAUAACCAUAAGGUUCUCUUAUUGUUCGAUUUUUAAGUUGUGAGUAAAUCACUCCAAAUUGGAGGUAAAUUCUUAAAAGUUUUAAUCUUUUAUGUAAGACUACGUCUUUAUUCUUUGUUAAAUUUAGAACAUUUGUUCAUUUUGUUGACUUCUAUAAUUAAGGAAUGUUAAUUGAGCACAUUUUCAAGAAUUCCUUGAAAUUAAAGUACCAAGGAUAAUGGAAAAGGAUCCGAGAAAUGUAAUUCUGUUGUAUGAGGAAAAACAUGAGAAUAAAAAUUAUUCAUGAAUGUCUAAAAAUCUGAAGCUUGAACCGUCUCAAACAAAAAAUUUCUUCCCUUAAGAUUUUGAAAGUUUAGGGUGUUGUUAUAGUCAUGAUCCCAUCCAGGUUGGCAUCCUAUGUUAUAUCAAUUAUUUGCAGCUUACCAAAAAGGUAUAAAAAAAAAGGAAAGAAAUACAAAAUAGUAGGGGGACUAUACCAAAACCUACUCAAGAACCAAAUCUAUAAUAAGGUUGAGAACAACUAUUUCUUGAUAAAUCAUAUCUAAGAAAAUCCAAAAUGUCAUUAUACCAGUGAUUAUAUCUUUGAAUUGCACCGAAGCAUGCAAGUUUAUCAGCAAUCUGGUUUAGUUUGGAAAUUACAUUGGGCUCUAUGGCCUGAAGCAAUCACUUUGAGCUUGGUUGGGUAAAUUAAUUUUGAUUUUGUUGAUUUUUGGACUGGAAUGGAGUGAGGCAAAUCAUUUAGUGUUUACUGUCAUACUCAUCAUGGGAAGUGUGUUUAUCUUAUGCUCUUUGUUGAUGCUAUUGUUAUUACAUGGAUAGAUAUCACUAGAAUUGCUCAAUUAAAACAACAUUUAUUGUGCAUCUUUAAUACCAAAGAUUUGGACUAACUAAAAUAUUUUUUAUUAUUGAAGUGACACAGUCAAGAGGUGUUAUCGUUUCACAAAGAAAAUAUGCUCUUGGUAUUUUGCAGGAUACAAACUUAGCAAAUUGUAGGCCCAUUGAUAGUCCUAUGGACUCAAACUCUAAUGUUAAUGAGAAACCACUAUGAAAUUUUCUCAAACCUAGAGAGAUAUAGGAUGUUGGUGGAAAAACUCAUUUAUAUCACAAUGAUAAGAGCAGAUCUUUCUUAUCCAUUGUGAGUUAUGAGUCAAUUUAUGCAUAACCCUCACAUAACAUUGAUUACUAGAAUAUUGUGAUUCACAUUCUCAUAUAUGCAUAAGGGAUCCCACGAUAGGGAUUGUUGUAUGAGAACAAGGCAGUGUUAUCAAAUUUUGGCCAUGGCGAUGCUAUGGCGGAAACCGGUAAUAGUUUCCCAACCUGCAGCCACAAUAAGGUACUGGCGAAGCAAAUUUUCUGUGGUGGUCUUGUGGCUGCUUAGCGUGCGGUGGUGGAAAAAGCAGGCUGGAGAUAGAAGAAGACAACUAAUUCCAUCAAUUUACCAAUUAACAACUAAUUCCUAAUUUGGUUCCUUCUAUCCUGCACCCAUUAUAUCCUAUCAAAUACACUGAUUUUCCUUUAUCUUUUUUGUUUAAGUAAAUGAAUACGAAGAUUCUAAAUAUAUUUUUCUUUUAAUUACUAUAAAGAUAUUAAAAAUAUUUUUAUACUAAUAAUCCUUUAUUUACCACAAGUUACGACAUCAAAUUUAUUCAGUUUAUUUAUGCAUGACUUAUUGAAUGCAUUAUGAUCGCUUGAAUUCUCAGUAUGGAAGAAGUACCAAGAUUGUGGUGCGAAUUCCAUCAAGAUUUGGUAUUUAGUGUUGUACUUCCAUUUACCACUGUUGUGUGAUAUGCUGGCUGAGACUGAACUUAUAUUUAGAAUAACUUUUUAAACUGAAGGAUACUAGUUGAAGUGUUAUAAUUUUUGUUUCAUGCAAACAUUACUAUGGAAAUAGCACAUUUACCUAACAGUGUCUAAUUUCUUUUUUUUAAGAUUUUGAUUCAAGGAAUGCCUCGAACUGCUAAUUUUGAAGAUGUAGUGCGAACCCUGUCUGGUUGUGAAUAUGAUUCCAACUCCAUCAACUUGUUUUUGAGGUAAACAUCAAAUACACUUCAAAUUUUAUAUUUUGUUUUAGAGUUAAACCUGUUUUUAGUCAUUAUAAAUAGGGCAGUUUUUAGUUUGGUUAAGAAUGUGUGUCUAAACUUCUUCAUACGUAUAGGAGAAGAUAAAAUUAAUAUAAGUGAGAAAACUUCUACUAAUUACUACUUUACGCUUUAGUUAAAAAUCUUAUUUUUGAGAAACUAACGAGAGAACCCUAAAUGCAUAAAUCAAUUUUAGUUUAUGGAGACGUUUAGUGCAUUUCUUAUUUUCUUCUCUACAAUUGCUUUUAGUCACCUUAAUGGAAAUGUAUCAUGUGUGAUCCCCAUUUUCAAAGGAGACCCAAAAGAGAAAAACUUCUGUGGUGGACAAGGAUCACACUUGACACAUUUUUCGUAAGCUAAUGGAUCAGAUGCGGUCGUUUUAGUUUUAGGGUCUCAAGGUGAACAGUUCUGCAUUGAUAAGGACUAAAUUAGUGUUUAAACCCUCUCAUGUAUUCUUAGAAAGAAAUGGUUGGAAUACACUAUUAACAUUCUGAAAACACACUCAUUUAUUGAAAUUUACUGAAAAUCACAAAUGUUGGCAGGUCUCACUUUAUCUAAGGAUCUCUCUCAAUUUUGUACUUUAAUAAAUUCUAUCUUUGUUCCCAACCCUCCUCUCCUCCGGAACCACAUUCUCGGGAACAUUAUUCCCGAAAAAUCCUAGUAGUUUAUAAAAGAAAUAGAGUUUAUUUAAUUGAACAAAAAGGGAUGAAGUGAGGAGGUAGGUAAUUGUUGUAGAAAGUAACUUCUAUUUUAAUGGGAAUACAAAAUACUUAGGUAAUGGAAUAAGGAGUAACACAAAAGUGUAAUUUAUAUUCCUUUGCAAGAACCAUUCCUGAGAAUGUGUUUACAAAACUGUCUCAAACAUGAGAAUAUCAUAUUCUCAAGUUCACUUUCUCGAUGCCUUGAAACAAACGGCUGCUUGGAUUAUAUUCUCAAAAUGGUAAUUAUUUUCUUACUUUCAGGCGAGGAGAAGAGUGGGCUGCAGAACCUAUUAAAUUGGCCACAGUGCGUUUCCAUUCAAGGACUCAAGCAAUGAAUGCAUUCAUCGCAAAAAAUGGAACCUUUUGCCAAAACAGUCGCAUUUCGGUACAAGUUUUGCAGUAAUUUAUGCCCCUUACUGGUGCUAGUAUUAUAUUACUACUACUUUAACAGAGGCUAGAGUAUUUAACUAGUUUUACUGGUGCUAGUAUUAUAUUACUAUUACUUUAACAGAGCCUAGAGUAUUUAACUAGUUUUUUUCAUUUCAUGGUCAUUUGGGAUUUUCAUAAUGUCUCUGGUUUAAGGUGAUGCAAGGAAAUGUUAAAAGUGUGGUAAAAUGUCUACCUUGCGUAGUAACACUUGACAUUAGUUGAUUGGUUAGUGAAGAGGUUGGUUCUUCUUUAUAUUGAAAUGUGUUUUUAUGUACCCAAUUAUUCAACGUUUUCCAAUGACAUGAAAUCGUGGUGUUGAUUCUAUGAGAAUUUGACUUUUCAAAUUCUAUAUAUCAGUGUGUCUUGGUAUUUGCAUGCUGAUAUAAAACUAGCAACUUUCCAGUUAUUAAUUAUACGUAAGUUUGCGUAGGCUAGUUCUUUGAAAAAAUAUGUGUGGAUAUUUUGUUAGAAAGUUAUGUAAAUAUGUUAGCAAACACAUAAAUGUGCAGCAGAAAUUAUUGCCAGUCAUGAAUUUGGUUAAGAAUGUGAUGAAGUUUCCAGAGAGGAAGAGUUAAAUUCAAAAAGGAAUAUUGAAGAAACAACUUAUUUCCAGAAAGAAAUAUUAGACACCCGUAAAAGAAUUAUUUUCACAUUUAUAACCUACUAAGAAUAAUAUAUUAACUUGAGCUAAAAUUAUGGCAAGUAUUGUGGGAUGACUCCUCUAAGGUGAAAAAGACACACUUAGGUUAAAGUACAGUAACGAUGGUAAAUUGCAAAUGAUUUUGAAGUUGCCAAUUUUUUGCUUCUAACUGCUGAUAAAUUUGGUCUCUAUUAUAAACGGUUGACUUUUGACUUUCUUUGAUCAGUUUUGUCUCAAUUUUAGUUUAGUUAGUUAAAGUUAGAAUUGAUUGACUCUUUAUCUGCACGUUACUUUCAUCUUAAAUUGAAGAGUUUAAGUUUUGAAAUUAUUUGAUUUAUCAAAAAAACUCCACAAAAAUACCAAUACUAAGUCAAAACUUCAAAAUAACGUAAUAUUUGCUAGAAAAUUUCAAGAGCUGUUUUUAUCAUAUAUUUAAACAAUUAAUUUUAAUUUGAUCAUUUUAUCUUUAAAUAACAUGAUUUUAGAAAACUUAUCAUGCUUACAUCAUGUGCAUAAUUGAUAAUCUCAUCAUGCAGUCAUGCAGUUGAAAAAGCAGGUCUAAUUGUAGUUACAUGUACAGUGAUAAAUGACCAAAUCUUAUUCUCAUUCAUUUGGUUCUAUUGAUGGACAUUUCAUUUCCUUAAAAGAGUUUAACAAUAUUUAUCCAUAGUUUUAUUCAUACUUUAGAUUUUACUCUUUCAUUACAUAAUUUGGUUUCACUACAUUCUAAAUAAUGACGUCCUAACAUUGUGCUAAAUCAUAGGACUUUUUGAGAAAUUUAUUGCAUGUAAUGUUAAUAAUCAAACCAUUAGAGCAAAAGUUCAACAUCUUGAUAUUUUAAUUGAGCACAUAAAUAUAAUGUUUAAUAUAUUUGUUGGUUUCUAGUCAGUUUUAUUUAAAAUAGUCUUCGAUUUUUGAUAUAAUGUCUCCGUGAAUUAUGAGUGAAUGAAUGAAAUGUAACUUUUUCACGUAUGUAACAACUUAAACCAAGGUUGAUGUGGAUAUGUGGAAUUUUAAAGUGGUUUCUAUGAUGAGGGCAUUUGACUUUGUUGUUGAAGUGGAGGUGCAGAAGUUAGAUCACAUAGGUAGAAAAUGAAAGUCUUAUUAAAUGCACUUGUGUUAAACGUACUAAAAGUUACAAACAUUGUUGUUCCAAAAGUAUAUAUUAAAAAAAUAUCUCACUAAAUAGGAAAAGUCUUACAUAGACUAAAAACGAAGUUUUCAUCCAACAAUGAAACACUUAUGAAUUGUUAGGUAUCUCUAAUAUAAUGCUUAAACAAUCAAAUACUGCUUAGAAGUGAAAUUAUGAAAUGCUUAUAGUUGCUCUAAACACAUAUUAAAUGACAAAACUGAUAAGAUAAGAAAAGGAACAUAUCUACUUACAUCCAUAUCUACUCAUAUUUAGAUACAUCCAUAUCUAUUCUACUAUAUAGAGAUUAUCUAUGUGAAAUAUCUACAUUCAAAUUAGAAUUAGAAGUAGACAUUAGAAACAAAUAAAACAUUCACAUAAUGUUGUCUCUAUCAAAAGUUUUUACAACCUACUUAUAUGUUCUGACAAUUUAGUUAACUUUAGGAGAGAUAUAAACUUUUAAGAAUUACAUAAAUUUGAAUUAAAUAUAGAAAGUUUAUUUGUGCAUAUAUAUAUAUAUAUAUAUAUAUAUAUAUAUAUAUAUAUAUAUAUAUAUAUAUAUAUUGAAUAAAUGUUUGUUGUUUGAAAUCUUAGACUUGUAAUCAUUACUAAAAAAUGUCCACUUGCUUCGAAUUUCCCAACAGAUUAUGUUAUUAUCCUAAUCGCACUCUUCGUUUAUUCUAGUUAUGCAGCUUAGUUUGCAGAUACAAUAACAAAGCACUUGAAAACAAGAAAUUGAAUAUGAAAAAACAAACCCUGCUUCAAAGUAGUACAUAAUAAUGCUAUAGCUUGAAAACCUAUAUAGGGUUACUAGGCUUGAGUGGGUGGAAGGUCUUUGUCUAGGGCUUCUGCGGAGAAAUCUCCAGGCUGUGGAACUUGCUCAUGAGGCAUUCCUUUUGGUUUGCUUCCUUCUUUCUCAUUCAUCUCUUCGUUCCUUCUCACAACUCUUUCUGUUUCUGUUUCUGUUUCUGGGUCAUCAUCAUCAACUACACCUUUCACCUCUUUACCACCGCAUGCCAAUGGCUUUGCCGGCUUCUCCGUCUUCUUCUUCAUUUUCAUCGAUGUUGCAGAAACACCCAAAAGAGAAAACUGUUUUAUUACUCUCUUAUCACUCGGCUGUUGCUUACGUCAACUCAACCGAUUAAGGCUUUGCAUACACGUGGCUACCACCAUGAACUCAGUUACGAACGUCCUUACACCUGGAUAUAUAAUGCUAAAAUACAUGUUAAUUUCUUGUCCUGCGG